AGGACGAACGCUGGCGGCGUGCUUAACACAUGCAAGUCGAACGGAAAGGCCCUUCGGGGUACUCGAGUGGCGAACGGGUGAGUAACACGUGAGCAACCUGCCCUUAGCUCCGGGAUAGCUCCGGGAAACCGGAAUUAAUACCGGAUACAACACCGGCCGACAUCGGCCGGUGUGGAAAGAAUUUCGGCUAGGGAUGGACUCGCGGCCUAUCAGCUAGUUGGUGGGGUAAAGGCCUACCAAGGCGACGACGGGUAGCCGGCCUGAGAGGGCGACCGGUCACACUGGGACUGAGACACGGCCCAGACUCCUACGGGAGGCAGCAGUGGGGAAUCUUGCGCAAUGGGCGAAAGCCUGACGCAGCGACGCCGCGUGGGGAUGAAGGCCUUCGGUGUAAACCCUUUCAGCAGGACGAAGCGAAAGUGACGGUACUGCAGAAGAAGCGCCGGCUAACUACGUGCCAGCAGCCGC
This 468-nucleotide ribosomal RNA is filed under the name uncultured bacterium. Its description in RNAcentral is "SSU rRNA". It matches the Rfam family "Bacterial small subunit ribosomal RNA", at positions 26 to 518 of the family's 1533-position model. The record is from RNAcentral.